CCCAGCUUACCUGCUGCAUCUGUCACUGAGUCUGAGACUCAUAGCAGCCAGCCAGUUACCUGCCAGGCCGCCCACAGCACCAGGAAGAAUGUUAUUAUCUGAUAGUAACAGCAGGGGUCCACAGUGUGGCCGGGCCCCCUGGAGUGCCAGGCCCAGUUGCAAUUGUGACCCCUGUAGGUACGCCACUGUGUCCACCCCAUUCUUAAAAUUGUACAUAGGCACAUAGCC
This is a non-coding RNA of Pelobates cultripes (western spadefoot toad), 228 nucleotides long. Lineage: Eukaryota; Metazoa; Chordata; Amphibia; Anura; Pelobatidae. The record is from the annotation of a GenBank genome assembly.